ACCAGCCAGACCUUGUUACAUGCAUUAAGGAAAACAGAGCAAUUACCAACCCGACCUUGGUACACGCAUUGAGGCCACACAGCUAUCACCAACCAGACCUUGGUUCGAACAUUGAGGGACACACAGCAAUCACCAACCAGACCUUGGUACACGCAUUGAGGGACAUACAGCAAUCACCAACCAGACCUUUUUGCACGCAUUGAGGGACACACAGCUGCCGCCAACCAGACCUUGGUACACGCAUUUAGGGACGCACAGCAAUCACCAACCAGACCUUGGUACACGCAUUCAGGGACAUAAAACAAUCACUAACCAGACCUUGGUACACACAUUGAGGGACACAAAGCUACCGUCAACUAGACCUUUGUACACGCAUUUAGGGACACACAGCAAUCACCAACCAGACCUUGGUACACGCAUUGAGGGACAUACAGCAAUCACCAACCAGACCUUGUUACACGCAUUGAGGAAAACACAGCAAUUACCAACCAGACCUUGGUACAUGCAUUGAGGGACAAAGAGCAAUCACCAACCAGACCUUGGUACACGCAUU
Molecule: small RNA, 553 nt
Filed under: Spisula solidissima (Atlantic surf clam)
Lineage: Eukaryota; Metazoa; Mollusca; Bivalvia; Venerida; Mactridae
Description: cnRNA314
Source: RNAcentral